This is a non-coding RNA of Misgurnus anguillicaudatus (oriental weatherfish), 798 nucleotides long. Lineage: Eukaryota; Metazoa; Chordata; Actinopteri; Cypriniformes; Cobitidae. The record is from RefSeq and is a predicted model, not a curated record.
AAAAAUGGACUUGGUGGGUCUUUGAAUUUAAAUAAAAUAAACAUGUAUAUGCAAAACAAAAUAUUUAUAUUCCUUGUGUAAACAUAAUUUAAUUGAUUAGGAUGAAAAUGUUUUGUUUGAAUGUAAAAUGAACACAUUAUUCUCACAUUGAUUAAAAUUGAUUGAAUUGAAUAGUUAAAGCAAUAAAAUUGAGUAAGCAAACAAAACGGCACCUCCUGAGCAGAAGGUGGCAGUAACGCUCAAUGAAAAGGACGUCAACUGCCAUAAAAGAAGAAUAAACAUCGUUUGUUUUGGGCGCCAAAAUGAAGACUCAGCAGCAGUCAGUCAGAAGAAGAACUCUCUCAGACGGACACCACGUUAUUAAAGUCCAUCAUCCUUUCAUACGCUACACACUCAAAAGCAUUGAUUAAUGCUGAAUUUAAAAAAAUCACUACUGUCUUAUGUUCCUGCGUCACCUGGACCUCCAAUCCAAAAACCUGACGAAACUCUUCUAUCAGAAAGGAGGACAGCUAGCAAAAAGACUUCAAACAAUUAAUGAUCAAAUGACAGAAGGCAUGGAUGAAGUCAGCAUCAGUGAGGUCAUUUGAAGACACCACUGUUGGGAUUUGUGCUCUCAAACAACAUGCUUCUUGAAGAAGAGGAUCUUUGUAUAGUCCUGGAAGGCAUGAAGGUGUUGCAACAUCGUGCCAUGUUGUUUGAGCUGAUGUAUGCCUUAAACCUGAGCUAUCCUGAUCUCCGCUUUAUUUUUGAGGAAAUCCAAAAGAUUUUAAUGGAACUGCAUUGAGAGUAACUUUAACG